Molecule: ribosomal RNA, 484 nt
Filed under: uncultured bacterium
Lineage: Bacteria
Description: partial 16S ribosomal RNA
Rfam family: Bacterial small subunit ribosomal RNA
Source: RNAcentral
AUUGAACGCUGGCGGCAGGCCUAACACAUGCAAGUCGAGCGGAUGAAGGGAGCUUGCUCCUGGAUUCAGCGGCGGACGGGUGAGUAAUGCCUAGGAAUCUGCCUGGUAGUGGGGGAUAACGUCCGGAAACGGGCGCUAAUACCGCAUACGUCCUGAGGGAGAAAGGGGGGGAUCUUCGGACCUCACGCUACCAGAUGAGCCUAGGUCGGAUUAGCUAGUUGGUGGGGUAAAGGCCUACCAAGGCGACGAUCCGUAACUGGUCUGAGAGGAUGAUCAGUCACACUGGACCUGAGACACGGUCCAGACUCCUACGGGAGGCAGCAGUGGGGAGUAUUGGACAAUGGGCGAAAGCCUGAUCCAGCCAUGCCGCGUGUGUGAAGAAGGUCUUCGGAUUGUAAAGCACUUUAAGUUGGGAGGAAGGGCAGUAAGUUAAUACCUUGCUGUUUUGACGUUACCCACAGAAUAAGCACCGGCUAACUUCGUG